GGUGGGGGUGGGGUGGAGGGACCCAAGUGGGUAGUGCCCUUCUACUUUUCUUGAAAAAAAAGGUGAGCUUAUUGGGCAAGUUGUAAAGUUUCUGCUGAUAAGUGAGUGAAUUAGAAGUGGGAAACAAUGAGAACACCAAAGCAGUUUAGUUUUUUAGUUCAACAUUAUUGAAUGAAAAAAUGUAUGUCAAAAUAUUAUUUGAGGUUAACAUGUUAAUUAUUUUAAUCAGAAAAGCCAGAUGGGAUUUGCCUAUAUGGAAUAUGUUCUUUAAACUUUUGUUUUAGUUAUAAAGAUUGAAACUUUAUGCCCCAACAGUUCCAUGUGCGAUUUGUAUAAGAUUUGUACAAGUUGGGUGUAGAUGACUACCAAAUUCUUGGUCAAGAAGUUGUGAACAUAUACAUAUUGUCAAGAAGACUGAUAUUGCUACAGUUACUCUAAUUGGAAAGAUGUUGGAGAAAUGGCUUGGAGUGGUUUGUGGCAAGAAUAAUAUUGAUACUAUAGAUGAGAACAAUAUUCAUAUCAAUGGAAAAAAGGUUAGAGGGACAGUUGUGUUGAUGAAGAAGAAUGUCUUGGACUUUACGGAUGUUGGUGCUUCUCUUCUCGAUCGAUUUCAUGAAGUCAUUGGCAAAGGUGUUUCUUUGCAGCUCAUCAGUGCAGACCAUGCAGAACCUGGAAAUGGAUGUACAGGGAAGUUGGGACAACCAGCAUUCCUGGAAAAUUGGAUUUCCACAUUGACGUCAAUAUCAGCGGGAGAUGCUACAUUUAAUGUGACAUUUGACUGGGAUGAGUCCAUGGGAGUUCCUGGAGCUUUCAUAAUCAAGAAUUACCACCACAGUCAGUUUUACCUCAGGACAGUCGUUUUAGAAGAUGUUCCUGGACAUGGUGAACUUCAUUUUGUGUGCAAUUCAUGGGUGUAUCCAGCACACCGCUACAAAUACGACCGCGUGUUUUUUGCAAACAAGACAUACCUGCCUAGCAACACACCGGAGCCUCUCAGACCAUACAGGGAACAGGAGCUUCUUAGUCUUCGUGGAAGUGGUUCAGGCAAGCUCAAGGAGUGGGACAGAGUGUAUGAUUAUGCAUUCUACAAUGAUCUUGGAUUUCCAGAUAAGGGGCCAGACUAUGUUCGACCUGUGCUUGGUGGAUCGAAGGAAUAUCCAUAUCCUCGUAGAGGCAGGACAAGCCGUUGAGCAACCAAAACAGAUCCUAUGUCAGAGAGCCGGUUGCCGCCUUUAGGUUUGGACAUUUAUGUUCCACGAGAUGAGCGUUUCACUCCUAUGAAGCUUUCAGAUUUCCUUGCAUAUGCUGUUAAAUCUUUGGGUCAGGUCCUCGUUCCUGAGAUUGUUGCUUUAUUUGACAAAACGAUCAACGAGUUUGAUAGCUUUGAAGACGUACUCAAGCUUUAUGAAGGUGGGAUAAAACUGCCUGACCAUCAUUUAAAAAAACUCAGGCAAUGCAUCCCAUGGGAGAUGCUCAAAGAACUAGUCCGCUCCGAUGGUGAACCAUUUAUCAAAUUUCCGAUGCCUGAUGUAAUCAAAGUUGAUAGGUCUGCCUGGAGGACAGAUGAAGAGUUUGGACGGGAAAUGCUAGCUGGAGUCAACCCUGUUAUCAUUCGACGUCUUCAGGAGUUUCCCCCGGCUAGCAAGUUGGAUCCUGAAGUAUAUGGUAAUCAGACCAGUUCAAUCAAAAGGGAGCACAUAGAGAAAAACAUGGAUGGACUAACUGUAGAUGAAGCUAUUGAGGGUAAUAGGCUGUUCAUUUUAGACCAUCAUGAUGCAUUGUUGCCUUACCUAAGACGGAUUAAUACAACAAAAACGAAGACUUAUGCCAGUCGGACUCUCCUUUUUCUUCAAGAUAAUGGAACAUUGAGGCCACUUGCAAUUGAGUUGAGCUUACCUCAUCCACAAGGAGAUAAACAUGGUGCCACCAGCCUUGUAUUUACACCAGCUAACGAGGGUGUUGAAGGCACUGUCUGGCAGCUGGCCAAAGCUUAUGCCGCUGUAAAUGAUUCUGGCUAUCAUCAGCUUAUCAGUCAUUGGUUAAAUACUCAUGCAACAAUAGAGCCAUUUGUGAUUGCUACGAAUAGACAUUUGAGCGUACUUCAUCCAAUAUUCAAGCUUUUACAACCUCAUUUCCGUGAUACCAUGUAUAUAAAUGCUUUGGCUCGGCAGAUACUCAUCAAUGCAGGUGGAAUACUUGAGCUGACAGUUUUUCCAGGGAAAUAUGCCAUGGAAAUGUCAUCUAUUGUCUAUAAAAGUUGGGUGUUCACCGAGCAAGGACUUCCUGCUGAUCUUCUUAAGAGAGGAAUAGCAGUGCCAGACUCAAGCCAACCCUAUGGCCUUAAACUUCUAAUUGAGGAUUAUCCUUUUGCUGUAGAUGGGCUUGAGGUUUGGGCAGCAAUCGAAGCCUGGGUUGACGACUACUGUUCAUUCUAUUACUCAACAGAUGACGUGAUCCGUGAUGACACUGAACUCCAGUCUUGGUGGAUGGAAGUUCGCAAUGAAGGUCAUGGUGACUUGAAAGAUGAACCAUGGUGGCCUCAGAUGCAGACACGCGCUGAACUCAUUGAAACAUGCACAACUAUCAUAUGGGUGGCUUCUGCUCUUCAUGCAGCUGUCAACUUCGGGCAGUAUCCUUAUGCUGGUUACCUCCCAAAUCGCCCAACAGUAAGUCGUCGAUUCAUGCCUGAGCCAGGCACUCCUGAGUAUGCUGAACUUGAAUCUAAUCCUGACGUUGCCUACCUAAAGACAAUCACAGCCCAGUUCCAAACUCUACUAGGUGUUUCAUUAAUUGAAAUAUUGUCACGACAUUCUUCAGACGAGAUAUAUCUGGGACAGAGAGAAAAUCCAGAGUGGACUUCAGAUGUUGAACCACGACAAUCAUUUCAAAGAUUCCACGACAGAUUAGUAGACAUUGAGAACAGAAUAGUGGAAAGGAACAGUGACAGCAGAUGGAAGAAUCGCAACGGACCAGUUAAGGUUCCAUAUAUGUUACUAUACCCCAAUGCCUCAGGUGACAACAGUGAAAGUGGACUUACUGGUAAAGGAAUUCCCAAUAGUGUCUCAAUUUGACGUGUUCUACAGCGCGAAUAUAAUAGCCUGAUUGGCAACAUAUAGUGUGUAUAUCCAUUCUUCUAUGUCAAAAUUUCUUUAGCCAAAUUCUAUCAUUGUUAUGUGUGUUUCUGCUUGGACUUCAUGACUCAGCCCAAGAAGGGAAAAUGCAGUACUGCAUCCUUGUAUAUAGCUAAAGUCUAAACACAUCACAGUAACUUUUUCCUAUUUUUUCUGUAUCUACAAAUGAUUUUAUGGUUUCUGCACAAUGAUCCUAUAUAUGAAAUGCAGCUAAAAGCACAUAUGCUAAA
This is an RNA transcript of Solanum pennellii, 3361 nucleotides long. It is a transcript of the gene named probable linoleate 9S-lipoxygenase 5, with no coding region annotated. Lineage: Eukaryota; Viridiplantae; Streptophyta; Magnoliopsida; Solanales; Solanaceae. The record is from RefSeq and is a predicted model, not a curated record. The transcript has 10 exons.